This 465-nucleotide ribosomal RNA is filed under the name Vreelandella stevensii. RNAcentral's name for it is "partial 16S ribosomal RNA". It matches the Rfam family "Bacterial small subunit ribosomal RNA", at positions 338 to 795 of the family's 1533-position model. Lineage: Bacteria; Pseudomonadati; Pseudomonadota; Gammaproteobacteria; Oceanospirillales; Halomonadaceae. The record is from RNAcentral.
CCUACGGGAGGCUGCAGUGGGGAAUAUUGGACAAUGGGGGCAACCCUGAUCCAGCCAUGCCGCGUGUGUGAAGAAGGCCCUCGGGUUGUAAAGCACUUUCAGUGAGGAAGAACGCCUGGUGGUUAAUACCCAUCAGGAAAGACAUCACUCACAGAAGAAGCACCGGCUAACUCCGUGCCAGCAGCCGCGGUAAUACGGAGGGUGCGAGCGUUAAUCGGAAUUACUGGGCGUAAAGCGCGCGUAGGUGGCUUGAUAAGCCGGUUGUGAAAGCCCCGGGCUCAACCUGGGAACGGCAUCCGGAACUGUCAAGCUAGAGUGCAGGAGAGGAAGGUAGAGUUCCCGGUGUAGCGGUGAAAUGCGUAGAGAUCGGGAGGAAUACCAGUGGCGAAGGCGGCCUUCUGGACUGAAACUGACACUGAGGUGCGAAAGCGUGGGUAGCAAACGGGAUUAGAUACCCUUGUAGUC